Molecule: transfer RNA, 72 nt
Filed under: Clostridia bacterium
Lineage: Bacteria; Bacillati; Bacillota; Clostridia
Description: tRNA-Tyr
Rfam family: tRNA
About the family: Transfer RNA (tRNA) molecules are approximately 80 nucleotides in length. Their secondary structure includes four short double-helical elements and three loops (D, anti-codon, and T loops).
Source: RNAcentral
CCUUGUGUAGCAAAGAGGUUAUGCGUUCGGCUGUAGACCGAAUUUAUGUAGGUUCGAGUCCUACCUCAAGGA